RNAcentral lists this small nucleolar RNA (137 nucleotides) under Ochotona princeps (American pika). Its description in RNAcentral is "Small nucleolar RNA SNORA74 (ENSOPRG00000023068.1)". Lineage: Eukaryota; Metazoa; Chordata; Mammalia; Lagomorpha; Ochotonidae. The record is from RNAcentral.
CCCAGCUGUAGGCAACUGCUUAGGUUGCCUCGUACAUAUGCAAGCGCUACACUGCUGGGAGAAAAGCAGCCAGUAGCUGGUAGGCACUCUGGGCUUGGUUAAUGCCAAGCAGUGUGCCAUAGCAGUGUGCCAGCAUA